RNAcentral lists this long non-coding RNA (4798 nucleotides) under Equus caballus (horse). RNAcentral's name for it is "lncRNA (ENSECAG00000050076.1)". The record is from RNAcentral. Lineage: Eukaryota; Metazoa; Chordata; Mammalia; Perissodactyla; Equidae.
CCCGCCCCCUAGGUCAGUCUCAAGACUCUCAAACGUGAGUGCAUCACAGUCACCUGGAAGGCCUGGGGACACCGAGCCCCAGAGUUUCUCAUCCUGGACCUCCCUUUCAGGCUGCCAUGCCCCGGCCCUGCACUCAGCAAGACUUUCCGGCCUCUGGGCCUUUCUUCGCUCUGGGUCUUGCUGCCUGGGGUGCCCGCCCUCCCACUUCUCAAGGGCUAACUGCUGCUCCUGUUUUAAGUAGUAGUCAGAGCAACCACUCAUUGAUCAGCAACCAAACCUGCCUCCCUCUUCACCUGGAGAACAACAUUACCCAGGGAGCUACAGGUCCCAGGAGGACAGGAGACAAGGCCUGGAGCUCAGCCCAGCCAUGCCCAGCCUGGAUCAGCCCCGCCUGCUGAACUGCAGGCAAGUGAGCCAGAAAACAAAUGCUGGUUCUGUGCAGCUGAAAUUUCCAAGUUGUUACACAGUAAAAGUUGCCUGACACAGGAGCGAAAACUGGGAGAGCUUUUAGUAUCUAUCAAAAUGUUUAAUGACAUGCCCUUUGACCCAGUGUCCUAAUUCCAGGUGCUGGGCUACUGGAACACUCCAGCUCGAAACAUGUGAACAAUGAUCUUUAGACCGACUCCCGUGUGGUAAGAGACGGUGUGCGCCCUGUCCCAUGUGAUAGAUGGGGCUGUCCAGGCAUUGAGGCGUGAAAUCACUUAGCAGGUCACACAGGGUGCCCCUGGGGGACUAGGAAGACUCCGGAGCUGCGCUGCCCCUCCACUGGAAGCAACAGCCCCAGGGGUCAACAGCCCCCAUAGCAGCAUGUGUGUGGGCACCACCUGGCCUGUCUGCGGCCACAGAUCAUUGACUUGAGAGCCCCGCCGUUUUAUCAUCUUGGGAGCCUUUUCCAAGCAGGACCCACAGCCCCCCUACAAGCAGCUCCAAUCCCCAGGGGGCUGCCAGGGGCUUAAGAUUGGCUGUGAAAACUCGUAAGAUAGAAAGCCCGGGGAAAGAAGAAUUUCCCAUCGGAUUGAAGUUGACUGUUUUCCAUUCAGCCCUCAGACAGCCAAUCUUUUCACCAAAGAACUGCAUUUUUCAAACUCUUUUUUCCCCCUGGUCCUCCAGCGGCCUCUUAGAUGGGAUGGCGGGAAAGCCUCCCUGGGUGAGAAGAUGCUCAGGGCCAGUGUUGGGGUUCGCCACCUGGGCCCCCCACCUCCUUCCUCAGCCACUCAUGGAAGGCCAAGGGGAGGAAAAUUGACUUAACACAGGGGCUCCGUGGACACCUCCGCAGAGAAGUUCGUCUUUUGUUGGGGGGAAGCCCAGACCGGAUCUCGGAGCUGGGAAAUAGAUCUGUUUGCUCGCUGUCCCCACUCGCCUCUCGGUUCAUCUGUCUCUGUUAGCUCAGUGCUGAUAAUUCUGUCGAGUUGGAGCGCUCGCCUGGCUUGGCAGUGAAUUGAGUCGAGAAGGUUUUUCCAUGAAGAAACAUAGAUGCCGUUGUCAGAGUUGGGGCGGGGGAGGGGGAGGUGGCUUCACGUAGUGGGUUGGAGCCAUCGGGGUCUUCAGGCCCAGCAGAGAGGAUGCGCACCUGUGCAUCAGCUUGUGGCAACUGCUCGCCUGCAGGGAAGAGAUGAGCUGAGAAAACGGUACUGUCCUGGAUGUCUGGCUGGAGAGAACCACUGCAUCUUUCUGUAUCAGGCAUUAGAGGAAGGCCUCAUUCAUUUUUAAACUGUUGCAGAGUGUUCCAUUGUAGGCAUGUGGUGUGGCAGCCAUGAUGGCAUAGGAGGUGGCCAUUGAGUGAAUGAGUGUGGGCACAGGGCUGGUGGUCCACAGGCCGAUCAGUGAUUUAGGAGGUGCUGAGCACAAAGCCUUGCCCAAUUCGUAUACCAACAUUCACCUCCGGGCCAGCACAGUCUCUUCCUACAAGGCAGGUGCUGUCACCAUUUUAUAGAUGAGUAAACUGAGGCACAGAGAAGUGAAGAAACUUGCCCAAGAUCACACAGCUAAUAAGUGGGAGAGCCAGGAUGCAAACCCAGGCCUGACUGACCCCAAAGACACCCAUGCCUGUAACUACCGCCUCUCUAGAUGGCCCAGGACUCUGGAAAUUUGCCCAAGUCAUGCUGUGGAUAGAGAAGAUAAGAAAACGUGGAGUCUCUUGGAGUCCCAGGUCUUACGGUAACCUCCCUGUCCACACUCAACAGCUUUAAGUGGCCAGGGUGGGACUCUGGCUGUGGUCAGCAGCCUGAUCUGAAGCCCUUGGCUUUUGGUUCGCUUUUGCCUAAAGUAACCAGAUAAUUGCAGCUGAAGCGAGUCACUCAGCUGGAAUUGCAGAAGCCAAGUGCCUCCCUACUGGACUUGCUCUUCUGCAGUCUUUGCUCUUCUGUUACCCUCUCUGGAAUGAUCACUGCCAAAGCCAGGACCCAGGGCCCCAGCAUCAUCUCUUUGUCUUGGGGCACAGCUCGGGGUACACAUGAUGCCAACUGAGUUCUCCCCAAACUCUGAUACAACCCAGAGCUGGAGCCAGCUGGGGUGGUCCCUCUGCCUGGCAGCUCCUGGCAGACAUGCCGCUUGGGGCUCCAGCACACUCACUCCUCUGCAUCCAGCACUCCUGGGCUGGGCCAACACUAAUAUUUACAUUUGAUGGCAAGGCUGCAGCCCAGGGCCGCUCCCCAACCCUGUGGUUCUCCUGGGCACGGGGGAUGGAUCUGCAGAGUCGGGGGUUGGAGACAGCUUAUGUGGGCUGAACGGGAGUCAUGGGGGAUGGCAGGCAGGAAAUUAGACCCAAGUCCUCAAAUAGCAAAAAUAACUAUACUGAUAACAAUAGCAAUUAUUUACAAAGUACUUACUAUAUGCCAAAGGCUGGGAUAAGUCUUCCCUAUGCAUUUUCAUCUUAGUUCUCAUCCGAGUGCUUCAAGGCAGGUGCAUUAUAGUUUUAAAGGCUAGAAAACAGAGGCAAAGUCAGUGGCAUGCCCAAGGUCACACAGCUAGUAAGCGAUGGGCCUGGAUGGCCAGCUGAGUCAACGAGCCUUGGGAAUUCUAAAAUCAAAUGCUGACGGGGACCAGGCAUUUAAUGCAGUGAGUGAAGCCUGGUAAGCUUAAGACGAUAGGGAGUGGUGGGGCCUGGGGCACACUGGAGAGGGACCCCCUUACCUAAUGCUCAGUUCUAGCUAGUUGUUGCCACAGGGAAAUGCAGACCUAGUGGGGCCAGCUCGUCUGAUUUUCAAGAGAAAAUCUUAGCAUGUUUGUUUCUAUAAUCAGGGGGAAAAUACAUAUUUAUACAUCUACAGGUCUUUAUUUGAAGUCUUCCAAUUUUUAAACGUUGGCAACACAUUCUUUUUCUAAAAACAACACAGUGGGAGCCAAGUCAAACACGGCUUCGGGUGGUACCUCUGCUCUCUCUGCAAAGCCCAGCUUGUUCACCCCUGCGCUCUGCUUCCUUCAUGCAGAAAGCAAGAGGGAGACUUCAGCUCAAAGGCCUUCUGUCUGGACCGUCACCCUGGAGCCACUUUCGGGGUGGAUACAUGGGGGAAACGUCACCCUUAGAGCCAGACAUUCAGGGCCCCACUGGCCCCCACGCAGCAGAAGGCCUUGCUCUGGCCCACCUCCCGCGGCCCUCCUUCCUGGGAUGAGGAGGUUCUGCUGAGGCGAGGGCACGUGCCCACCCAGAGCUCACAUCCCCUCCUCUGCACCAGCCUCCGGGCCCUGGGGACCCCAGAAUUCCCUGCCCCAAAGCCUCGAGCCCUCUUUCAGGACCAGUGGAUCAGUUUUCCGUUGCUAGAAAGGAAACCACUUAAACUGCACAGUGUGAAACCACUAUCAUCUCAUUGUGAGAACUCCCUCCCACGGUCCUGGGCCUGUCGGGGGUUGGGGGGGUGGGUGUAAUCAUUCUCCCCUGGGUUGCUCCUGACGUCCAGUCGGACGGUGGCUGGGGCCACAGCCAUCUGGAGGUUCUUCACCCACACGUCUGCGGUCGAUCUUACGGUCGGCUGAGGCCUCCGCCGGGGCUGCCGGCCAGAACAUCUGCGCAUGGCCUCUCCAUGGGGCCCGUGCUCCCUCACCUUGUGGCCAGUGGUUCUAGAAACAAGUGUCCCAGGAGGGAGACCCAGGAGGAAGCCGAAUCACCUUUCAGGACCCGCUUCCAGAGGCCCUUCUGUCAUGUUAUUGGUAGAGGCAGAAACAAAAGUCUGGCCAGGUCCGGGGAGGGAUGGGGGCAAGGUUGAUGGCCGCGGGGCUAGGUUACACGGUAGAAGAGUCCACGGCGUGGGAGAUGUUUCUGUGGCCAUUUUGGAGAAUAUUUUCUGCCCUAGCCUGCAUGUUUCUCUUCCCCCGAGCACCUCCCGAGGAUGCAGGGCAGUGGUGAGGCCAAGGGGCCGCCGCAGGGGGCUGGGAGUGGAUGGACGGGGCGCAGGCUGGCUGCGCACGCGCGGCGCACGCGGACCUCGACCCUGCCGUUAGGGACAGGCUGUCUGGAGGGCGGGGCAGGCCCUCUGGAUUUGCUUUGAGGAGUCCCCACCGAGAGCCACACGUGGAAAGGCAGAGGUCGGCUCCUAGGGGAUCCGAGUGACAGCCGCUGCUGAGCAGGAAGGGCCCGUGGGGAGGCGAAGAGAGAUGGAGAUAAAUGACCUGCUGUGUGUGCACCAGCCUCCUGGCGAACUCGUCUUGACAGUGUGGAAAGGAGAAAAGUUGAAAAACAUGGAUAAGUGAAAACUACCUACCAUCAGAAUACCUAGAGAAAAGCACUCUUUCAACAAGUUGGUAGACCAAGGACUUGCCUGGGAGAGAAGAAUCUAGCAUUCUGGCCUUCACCUUGGGAUUC